RNAcentral lists this ribosomal RNA (274 nucleotides) under uncultured bacterium. RNAcentral describes it as "partial 16S ribosomal RNA". It matches the Rfam family "Bacterial small subunit ribosomal RNA", at positions 523 to 796 of the family's 1533-position model. The record is from RNAcentral.
AUACGGAGGGUGCAAGCGUUGUUCGGAAUCACUGGGCGUAAAGGGCGCGCAGGCGGUUUGGUAAGUCAGAUGUGAAAGCCCAUGGCUCAACCAUGGAAGUGCAUUUGAAACUGUCAGACUUGAGUACUAGAGGGGAAAGUGGAAUUCCCGGUGUAGAGGUGAAAUUCGUAGAUAUCGGGAGGGAUACCGGUGGCGAAGGCGACUUUCUGGCUAGAUACUGACGCUGAGGCGCGAAAGCGUGGGGAGCAAACAGGAUUAGAAACCCCAGUAGUCC